RNAcentral lists this ribosomal RNA (105 nucleotides) under Salmonella enterica subsp. enterica serovar Senftenberg. RNAcentral's name for it is "partial 23S ribosomal RNA". It matches the Rfam family "Bacterial large subunit ribosomal RNA", at positions 2821 to 2925 of the family's 2925-position model. RNAcentral also lists the same sequence under 5 other names. Lineage: Bacteria; Pseudomonadati; Pseudomonadota; Gammaproteobacteria; Enterobacterales; Enterobacteriaceae. The record is from RNAcentral.
GGUCUCCUGAAGGAACGUUGAAGACGACGACGUUGAUAGGCCGGGUGUGUAAGCGCAGCGAUGCGUUGAGCUAACCGGUACUAAUGAACCGUGAGGCUUAACCUU